Molecule: ribosomal RNA, 497 nt
Filed under: uncultured bacterium
Lineage: Bacteria
Description: partial 16S ribosomal RNA
Rfam family: Bacterial small subunit ribosomal RNA
Source: RNAcentral
GAUGAACGCUGGCGGCGUGCCUAAUACAUGCAAGUCGAGCGAACAGAUAAGGAGCUUGCUCCUUUGACGUUAGCGGCGGACGGGUGAGUAACACGUGGGUAACCUACCUAUAAGACUGGGAUAACUUCGGGAAACCGGAGCUAAUACCGGAUAACAUUUGGAACCGCAUGGUUCUAAAGUGAAAGAUGGUUUUGCUAUCACUUAUAGAUGGACCCGCGCCGUAUUAGCUAGUUGGUAAGGUAACGGCUUACCAAGGCGACGAUACGUAGCCGACCUGAGAGGGUGAUCGGCCACACUGGAACUGAGACACGGUCCAGACUCCUACGGGAGGCAGCAGUAGGGAAUCUUCCGCAAUGGGCGAAAGCCUGACGGAGCAACGCCGCGUGAGUGAUGAAAGGUUUCGGCUCGUAAAACUCUGUUAUUAGGGAAGAACAAAUGUGUAAGUAACUGUGCACGUCUUGACGGUACCUAAUCAGAAAGCCACGGCUAACUACGUG